This 674-nucleotide ribosomal RNA is filed under the name uncultured bacterium. RNAcentral describes it as "bacterial SSU rRNA". It matches the Rfam family "Bacterial small subunit ribosomal RNA", at positions 94 to 803 of the family's 1533-position model. The record is from RNAcentral.
AGUGGCGCACGGGUGAGUAACGCGUGGGAAUUUGCCUUUCGGUACGGGAUAACGUCUGGAAACGGACGCUAAUACCGUAUGAUGUCUACGGACCAAAGAUUUAUCGCCGAGAGAGGAGCCCGCGUAGGAUUAGGUAGUUGGUGGGGUAAUGGCUCACCAAGCCGACGAUCCUUAGCUGUUCUGAGAGGAAGAUCAGCCACACUGGAACUGAGACACGGUCCAGACUCCUACGGGAGGCAGCAGUGGGGAAUAUUGGACAAUGGGGGCAACCCUGAUCCAGCCAUGCCGCGUGAGUGAAGAAGGCCCUAGGGUUGUAAAGCUCUUUCGCCAGGGAAGAUAGUGACGGUACCUGGUAAAGAAGUCCCGGCUAACUCCGUGCCAGCAGCCGCGGUAAUACGGAGGGGACUAGCGUUGUUCGGAAUUACUGGGCGUAAAGAGUACGUAGGCGGCUUGCCAAGUUGGGUGUGAAAGCCCGGGGCUCAACCCCGGAACUGCAUUCAAAACUGGUUGGCUAGAGAUCGGAAGAGGUAAGUGGAAUUCCCAGUGUAGAGGUGAAAUUCGUAGAUAUUGGGAAGAACACCGGUGGCGAAGGCGACUUACUGGUCCGAUACUGACGCUGAGGUACGAAAGCGUGGGGAGCAAACAGGAUUAGAUACCCUGGUAGUCCACGCCGA